AUUGAACGCUGGCGGCAUGCUUUACACAUGCGAGUCGAACGGUAACAGGCCGCAAGGUGCUGACGAGUGGCGCACGGGUGAGUAAUGCAUCGGAACGUGCCCAGUCGUGGGGGAUAACUACUCGAAAGAGUAGCUAAUACCGCAUACGAUCUAUGGAUGAAAGCGGGGGACCGUAAGGCCUCGCGCGAUUGGAGCGGCCGAUGUCAGAUUAGGUAGUUGGUGGGGUAAAGGCUCACCAAGCCAACGAUCUGUAGCUGGUCUGAGAGGACGACCAGCCACGCUGGGACUGAGACACGGCCCAGACUCCUACGGGAGGCAGCAGUGGGGAAUUUUGGACAAUGGGCGCAAGCCUGAUCCAGCAAUGCCGCGUGCAGGAAGAAGGCCUUCGGGUUGUAAACUGCUUUUGUACGGAACGAAACGGCUCUGGUUAAUACCCGGGGCUAAUGACGGUACCGUAAGAAUAAGCACCGGCUAACUACGUG
This 482-nucleotide ribosomal RNA is filed under the name uncultured bacterium. Its description in RNAcentral is "partial 16S ribosomal RNA". It matches the Rfam family "Bacterial small subunit ribosomal RNA", at positions 30 to 507 of the family's 1533-position model. The record is from RNAcentral.